UACAGAGGGUGCAAGCGUUAAUCGGAAUUACUGGGCGUAAAGGGUGCGUAGGUGGUAUGUUAAGUUGGAUGUGAAAGCCCUGGGCUUAACCUAGGAAUUGCAUUCAAUACUGUCAUACUAGAGUCGGGUAGAGGGAGGUGGAAUUUCCGGUGUAGCGGUGAAAUGCGUAGAGAUCGGAAGGAACACCAGUGGCGAAGGCGGCCUCCUGGACCCAGACUGACACUGAGGCACGAAAGCGUGGGGAGCAAACAGG
Molecule: ribosomal RNA, 253 nt
Filed under: uncultured bacterium
Lineage: Bacteria
Description: partial 16S ribosomal RNA
Rfam family: Bacterial small subunit ribosomal RNA
Source: RNAcentral